CAGUAGCCGCGGUAAUACGAAGGGUGCAAGCGUUAAUCGGAAUUACUGGGCGUAAAGCGUGCGUAGGCGGUUUGUUAAGUCUGUUGUGAAAUCCCCGGGCUCAACCUGGGAAUGGCAAUGGAUACUGGCAAGCUAGAGUGUGUCAGAGGAUGGUGGAAUUCCCGGUGUAGCGGUGAAAUGCGUAGAGACCGGGAGGAACAUCAGUGGCGAAGGCGGCCAUCUGGGACAACACUGACGCUGAGGCACGAAAGCGUGGGGAGCAAACAGGAUUAGAUACCCCCGUAGUCCCUGUCUCUUAUAA
RNAcentral lists this ribosomal RNA (301 nucleotides) under uncultured bacterium. Its description in RNAcentral is "partial 16S ribosomal RNA". It matches the Rfam family "Bacterial small subunit ribosomal RNA", at positions 509 to 809 of the family's 1533-position model. The record is from RNAcentral.